Molecule: ribosomal RNA, 603 nt
Filed under: uncultured fungus
Lineage: Eukaryota; Fungi
Description: eukaryotic LSU rRNA
Rfam family: Eukaryotic large subunit ribosomal RNA
Source: RNAcentral
ACCCGCUGAACUUAAGCAUAUCAAUAAGCGGAGGAAAAGAAACCAACAGGGAUUGCCUUAGUAACGGCGAGUGAAGCGGCAACAGCUCAAAUUUGAAAUCUGGCCUCUUUGGGGUCCGAGUUGUAAUUUGCAGAGGGCGCUUUGGCGUUGGCAGCGGUCCAAGUUCCUUGGAACAGGACGUCACAGAGGGUGAGAAUCCCGUACGUGGUCGCUAGCCUUCGCCGUGUAAAGCCCCUUCGACGAGUCGAGUUGUUUGGGAAUGCAGCUCUAAAUGGGAGGUAAAUUUCUUCUAAAGCUAAAUACUGGCCAGAGACCGAUAGCGCACAAGUAGAGUGAUCGAAAGAUGAAAAGCACUUUGGAAAGAGAGUUAAAAAGCACGUGAAAUUGUUGAAAGGGAAGCGCUUGCAGCCAGACUUGCCUGUAGUUGCUCAUCCGGGUUUCUACCCGGUGCACUCUUCUAUAGGCAGGCCAGCAUCAGUUUGGGCGGUUGGAUAAAGGUCUCUGUCAUGUACCUCUCUUCGGGGAGAACUUAUAGGGGAGACGACAUGCAACCAGCCUGGACUGAGGUCCGCGCAUCUGCUAGGAUGCUGGCGUAAUGGCUGU